UACCGCGGUUUUCCUCGGCAGUUAACUGCCAUCGGUUUUCUAAAACUUCGACAGUUAACUGCCGAGGGGCAU
This 72-nucleotide microRNA precursor is filed under the name Medicago truncatula (barrel medic). Its description in RNAcentral is "MIR2629 microRNA precursor family". It matches the Rfam family "MIR2629 microRNA precursor family". Lineage: Eukaryota; Viridiplantae; Streptophyta; Magnoliopsida; Fabales; Fabaceae. The record is from Rfam by way of RNAcentral.